UGAUGGCAAUGAUGAUUUUCAUGAUGUUGCUCUCCUGAUGUACAAACAUGAGGUUGCACAGUCACUACCUCUUCUGAAGCCAUCU
This 85-nucleotide small nucleolar RNA is filed under the name Sphenodon punctatus (tuatara). RNAcentral describes it as "Small nucleolar RNA SNORD11B (ENSSPUG00000003979.1)". It matches the Rfam family "Small nucleolar RNA SNORD11B". Lineage: Eukaryota; Metazoa; Chordata; Lepidosauria; Sphenodontia; Sphenodontidae. The record is from Rfam by way of RNAcentral.